CCUACGGGAGGCUGCAGUGGGGAAUAUUGCACAAUGGGCGCAAGCCUGAUGCAGCCAUGCCGCGUGUGUGAAGAAGGCCUUCGGGUUGUAAAGCACUUUCAGCGGGGAGGACGGCGUUAAGGUUAAUAACCUUGGCGAUUGACGUUACCCGCAGAAGAAGCACCGGCUAACUCCGUGCCAGCAGCCGCGGUAAUACGGAGGGUGCAAGCGUUAAUCGGAAUUACUGGGCGUAAAGCGCACGCAGGCGGUCUGUCAAGUCGGAUGUGAAAUCCCCGGGCUCAACCUGGGAACUGCAUUCGAAACUGGCAGGCUAGAGUCUUGUAGAGGGGGGUAGAAUUCCAGGUGUAGCGGUGAAAUGCGUAGAGAUCUGGAGGAAUACCGGUGGCGAAGGCGGCCCCCUGGACAAAGACUGACGCUCAGGUGCGAAAGCGUGGGGAGCAAACAGGAUGAGAUACCCGGGUAGUC
This 465-nucleotide ribosomal RNA is filed under the name uncultured Klebsiella sp. RNAcentral's name for it is "bacterial SSU rRNA". It matches the Rfam family "Bacterial small subunit ribosomal RNA", at positions 338 to 795 of the family's 1533-position model. Lineage: Bacteria; Pseudomonadati; Pseudomonadota; Gammaproteobacteria; Enterobacterales; Enterobacteriaceae. The record is from RNAcentral.